GCCAGGCCCGGCCCGGUGCUCGGCGGCCGCCUGCGCACGGUGAGAGGGGCGGUGCUGCACAGCGAGGGAGGGACGGAGCGGGGCGGAGGGGAGGGACGGGAAAGCGGCGGGACGGCGGCGGGGGGCGCUGCUGGGACCGGCCCGGGGAGAGCGAUGUGGUGGCGGAGGGUCUGGGAUGAGAGAAAUGUCUGAGAGGCAGGCGGGAGAGGGCUGAGGGGACCGGGCUGCAGCUGAGGGGAGUUUCUGAGGGACAGGCAGUAAGGAGUUGAGGGGAGAUUCUGAGGGGUAGGCGGGAGUGAGCUGAGGGGAAGUUCUGAGGGAGAGAUGUGAAAAAGCUGAGGGGAAUUUCUGAGGAAUAGGUAGGAGUGAGUUGAAGGAACUGGGGCUUAAGCCCGGGGAAGUUUUGAGGGACAGGCAGGAGCGAGCUGAGGGAGUUUGUGAGGGACAGGUAGUAAGGAGCUAAGGGAGUCUGUGAGGGGCAGGCUGGAGCAAGCUGAGGGGAAAUUCUGAGGGAGAGGGGUCUGGAGGCACUGGGAGACUGGAAAGGCUCCAGAGAAGAACAAGAAGAGGUUAUCUUGCUAUGCUAAACUGUAGUCCUGCAUAAAUGCACGUGUGUGAACCUCCAUGGCCGUUCGUGGCAUCUCCCAGGAGCAGCCCCAGUCCUGAUUCCUCAUUCCAGUACGUAGUGUGUGCUGCUGAGGAAGUGCAAGGCACCGCUGUGAGGAGUGUCCCCACCUGUUGGACCAGCAAGUGCAGCUCUGCAGGAAGGAAAUUGCAGCCAUAGGAUGCGAUUUGUUCCCUGCCUGAUAUCUCUUCGGGCAUCCAGUGUCACUGAGCAACCCCAAAAAGCAGCAGUGGUGCAGUCGAUCUGACAGUACAAGGGCAGAUCCUCUGGACGGUAGAGGAUGCUAGAGAAGAGGUAGAUUUUCCAUCGUGCUUUUCUCUGUUAGCAUCUCUCGGUCUUGCCUGGCAUCAGCGCUAGCCAGCGUCUCUGUGUUUGCUUACAGCUGCAUGCCCCUGCAAAUGGAUGCAUGCGUGGAGUUGCAAACCGAGGCACCUUGAAACGGGUCCAGAAGUUUGCAUGAUCUCCCACUGAGCACAUCCGAGGAGUUUGAUAGGUUUCUGCUCUCGACAUCCCGUUCUUUCAGCUGCAGGAGGCAGGGACCCUUGGUUUUUUCUCACCUACCCUCUGCUGAGCUGCCAAGUGUUCCAGCCUCAGCUAGAGAGUUUGCUUCCUCAUUUCCACAUGCACAGCUCGCGUGCAACCUUGGGAUGCCAGAGCGUCAGUCUGAUUCUUUGUCCUUUGAGUCUAUUUACAGUGUUUUCAUUGAACAGGACAAGGAAAAAUAAAUAAAUAAAAUCACAGAACA
This 1370-nucleotide long non-coding RNA is filed under the name Anser cygnoides (Swan goose). RNAcentral's name for it is "lncRNA (ENSACDG00005012493.1)". Lineage: Eukaryota; Metazoa; Chordata; Aves; Anseriformes; Anatidae. The record is from RNAcentral.